Molecule: ribosomal RNA, 486 nt
Filed under: uncultured Glomus
Lineage: Eukaryota; Fungi; Glomeromycota; Glomeromycetes; Glomerales; Glomeraceae
Description: partial 18S ribosomal RNA
Rfam family: Eukaryotic small subunit ribosomal RNA
Source: RNAcentral
UAAUUGGAAUGANUACAAUUUAAAUCCCUUAACGAGGAACAAUUGGAGGGCAAGNCUGGUGCCAGCAGCCGCNGUAAUUCCAGCUCCAAUAGCGUAUAUUAAAGUUGUUGCAGUUAAAAAGCNNNUAGUUGAAUUUCGGGAUUGGCGCAUCGGUCGNNCCUCACGGGGUAUGAACUGGUGCAGUCAAUUUCUCACCUUCUGGAGAACCGCGAUGUCCUUAAUUGGAUGCCGUGGGGAACCAGGACCUUNNNUUUGAAAAAAUUAGAGUGUUUAAAGCAGGCAUUUUUGCUUGAAUACAUUAGCAUGGAAUAAUAAAAUAGGACGGCAUGGUUCUAUUUUGUUGGUUUCUAGGACCACCGUAAUGAUUAAUAGGGAUAGUUGGGGGCAUUAGUAUUCAAUUGUCAGAGGUGAAAUUCUUGGAUUUAUUGAAGACUAACUACUGCGAAAGCAUUUGCCAAGGAUGUUUUCAUUAAUCAAGAACGAAAG